GGAGCCGUGCCUGAAACAAAGGACCACUUUGGUAGAGUGAAUAAUGGGGGUUAAAGUCCCCCCGACUCC
This 69-nucleotide transfer RNA is filed under the name Sicyopterus lagocephalus. Its description in RNAcentral is "tRNA-Ile". It matches the Rfam family "tRNA". From Rfam's summary of the family: Transfer RNA (tRNA) molecules are approximately 80 nucleotides in length. Their secondary structure includes four short double-helical elements and three loops (D, anti-codon, and T loops). Further hydrogen bonds mediate the characteristic L-shaped molecular structure. tRNAs have two regions of fundamental functional importance: the anti-codon, which is responsible for specific mRNA codon recognition, and the 3' end, to which the tRNAs corresponding amino acid is attached (by aminoacyl-tRNA synthetases). tRNAs cope with the degeneracy of the genetic code in two manners: having more than one tRNA (with a specific anti-codon) for a particular amino acid; and 'wobble' base-pairing, i.e. permitting non-standard base-pairing at the 3rd anti-codon position. Lineage: Eukaryota; Metazoa; Chordata; Actinopteri; Gobiiformes; Gobiidae. The record is from RNAcentral.